UCAUAAACCCUCGUGGCUCACCAUUCCGAUGUUACUUUUGGUCAUGUCUGCAGUCACGACCUCAAGCGUUCAGCAAUGGAACACCCGAGAGGGGCAUGGAUUCAUGACGUACCGGAUCUGGGGCCAUCACCAAGGCCCAGCAUCAGUACCGAUAUGAUGCUCAUAUGGAUAAGGGUGACUAGAGAAGCAUCGCCACCCAAUGGACCAUUCCCGCCUUACCAUGGCUGCCAACGAACCAGGUAAUCCGCUCCGUCCUGCCUGAACAUUGGGUAUGCCAUACGAUGUGCUUUCCCAAAACAGUAGAACAUGGCGAUGGAGGGACGGCCAUUCCUCAUGGACUAGGCUAUAUGUGACUACGAUAUGGGAUGCCAGAACCUACUUGAAGUGACCGCAAUACAUGACUGGCGGGCGUGGCAGAAAGUCUAGCGCUCAUCAAGGCAUAGACGGGUCACCAAGAGGUAGUGUCUCGGAUAACAUGACACCCUCAUACAGCAGCACAAGCCUACCCCAGAGCCAAUAAACGACAGGGCUCGCCAAUCUUUAUGACAUGCUCGGGGACUCGGAACGAGGAAGCGACACCCAGAGACGGACACACUCGGGGCGUCUUGCUCGUGUGGGAAAUUUGGCACACACGGGAGACAUGGCAGUGAAUGCUGACAACCCGAUGAUGGUUGGACAUGGCUAGUUAUUGUCUGUCCCUGAAUGCUUCCCUAUUCCUCAUCACUCCCGACUGUGGUACAUACGUUAUCUGUUUGUAAGCACUUUCCUUGAUUCAAGCAGAGGAACAGUAGCCCGACACAGUACUUGCUCAUAAGGCUACACCCGUCCCGUUUCUGGCUUUCCGUACUUUCCUUUGGGAUGACCUGACUACCUGUAAACAGGCCCAGGUCUCGCAGCUCUGUGGCAAUCAUCACGCAUUUCCAC
Neurospora crassa OR74A is the source of this 924-nucleotide non-coding RNA. The record is from RefSeq and is a predicted model, not a curated record. Lineage: Eukaryota; Fungi; Ascomycota; Sordariomycetes; Sordariales; Sordariaceae.